This 250-nucleotide ribosomal RNA is filed under the name uncultured bacterium. RNAcentral's name for it is "partial 16S ribosomal RNA". It matches the Rfam family "Bacterial small subunit ribosomal RNA", at positions 524 to 773 of the family's 1533-position model. The record is from RNAcentral.
UACGAAGGGGGCUAGCGUUGUUCGGAUUUACUGGGCGUAAAGCGCACGUAGGCGGUUUGUUAAGUGAGAGGUGAAAUCCCAGAGCUCAACUCUGGAACUGCCUUUCAUACUGGCAAGCUAGAGUCCGGAAGAGGUGAGUGGAACUCCUAGUGUAGAGGUGGAAUUCGUAGAUAUUAGGAAGAACACCAGUGGCGAAGGCGGCUCACUGGUCCGGUACUGACGCUGAGGUGCGAAAGCGUGGGGAGCAAAC